This is a non-coding RNA of Macaca mulatta (Rhesus monkey), 275 nucleotides long. The record is from RefSeq and is a predicted model, not a curated record. Lineage: Eukaryota; Metazoa; Chordata; Mammalia; Primates; Cercopithecidae.
GAGUGUGGAAGAUUACCACACAGAGUGACCCUGCCUCUUCCUCAAAGGUCGGGAAUGAGAAUAAAAAACUCACGGUGUCUGCUGGCAGAAACAGGAGGUGGAGUGGGGGAUAUGCCAGCCAUGGCCUGAAACCAGUAUCCAAGACUCAGUGGAGGAUGCUGGAUAGAGCAUGAGGGGCGACGUCAGGAGACCAGGAUGCAGCCUCUCCCAUACUGUCACCUACUGAGUCAACUUGAAUAAACGAUGAACCGCUCUGUAUGAGGUUCUGUUAUGUA